UCCAACGUAUGUACGUUUCUUGAUUAAGUGGUAAAGAAUGCCUUGCUCAGAACACUAUUAAUCAGAUUUGCACAACAACAGGGGAUAUGAAAUGAAUCUGCGGCACAGUGUGAGGUCCCAAACGAACAAUUUAAGAUGACUCCAACACACACAGGCGACUAAAACAAGCGUGAGCGUGUAUUUACUAGCAAAACGUGUCCCAGUGACAGAGCUGCCUUCAGUUCAACGAGAGCCGCAGCCGGGACAGGAACACAUUACCAUACGUCGUUUCUUCGAUGGUGCUCACAUUCUUUUUGACAAUAAAUUACUUUCGGAAAGCGAAAUCACACGGAGAGCAAAGCGAGAAAGAUAGCCUUGCGAAACCGAAACUUUAGAGGGGAUCACGUGGUGGACAGGACGUAAUGGCGAUUUUGACUCGAGCGACCGCUAGAGCGUGGCUACGCUAGUCUGGAUCGGAGAGCCGCUCCUUGUGUUUCCUUCCUCCAACCCCAGAGGUAAGGUGCUACCCGAAAGUCGAGACGGAGUCGUCGCGUUCCCCCAUGACUGCUUCCCGAGACUCGUUCGAGGCGAGCGAAUCCUCCGCUGAACUGGCAGAGCCGACGUUGCAUUUAGUACUGCUCCGCGAGGCAGUCAUUCGAUGCGAACUAACAAAACUAAGAGUUCACAGCGAGCGGUCUGAAGCAUCUCGAUCAGGCAGCACGAGGACAACGGCGUCCGCAGCCCUUUCCUUGGCGGAGCCGACGCUAUCCUUCAGAACUGCUCUACGAGAGAGAGAGAGACUCAUUCGGAGCGAGCGAUACCGUCAAAGCGAAUGGUUUGGAGCGUCUCAUUCACUGAACGAGAGAGCGAUGUCGCAAGCAGGUCAUUCAGUCGGUUAUUCCAUUCAAUUCGUCGUUCUCCUCGCUUCUUCUCGGCAGGGCUGGCACAUCCGCGCAUGCGCUCAGGGCGAUCAACGCUCCGCUGCUAAAGCUAAAGUUCGCGGCGGACAACAUAGGUGGCAACGCCGUCGCGAGCAGCGCUCUCAAACAGCAUGACGGCGAAUUGCAGAAAUUGUGCAACAAGCGAUGAAUAUAGAGAGACGAAGGGUGUCACUGAACUGAACUGGUCAACGAAUGUUUUUGUCAUUGGUGAAUGAGUUGACUUAGUUCACACGACUGAGUCGUUAAGACUGAACGAAUCAUUCACGACUGACACAUCACUAGGCCCCAUAGUUAGAGAUAAUUCACACAACACUCUGCACACGACCGAUGAAACUGCAACAUUGUAGAUAUUAUGUAUAACCAGUCGGCAAAUCAGGAGCCUCGAUGUUUGGAUGGCCUUUCGACCGGUCCUGGCUACCAUCGACUUCUAUUGGAUUUCACGCCUGCCGCUGUUAUUCGGUAAAGCGACUGUUUGCUAAAAGAAACAUUUAUUUGACACAAAGCAUUGAUUCAGAGACCUGGUAGGUGGGUGCCCUGAGCGUACAAAGCCCACUGUGUUGCAGACACACUGGAACGAAGUUCAAACGUGAGGCAGAACGAACACACCGUUCAAUUCCUAAUACCGAGCCAGUCUCAUGAGUGCGUACUAUUUCAUGAUGAGCAUGUUUUCUUCGCUGCUUGUAGUAUAUCAUACAUAACGGCGAAGCGGAAAGCGCUUGUGUGGCACGUAAUCUUGUCUUUGUUGUCAGUUCUCGAAAUUCGACGGCACCCGAACCUAUUCUUCACGAUCCAACUCAUGAAGCAUUCCAGUUUCGAAGUUGAUACACUGUUCGUCGGAUAAUACUGGUGUCUAGAAGCAGCACAACAUACGUAAAAUCGCACUGACGCAUGGAUAAACCGGCGGACGUAUUUCUACAAACUAUUCUGUCGAUUGACACCACCAAAACACGGAACACAGGAGGACGCCAUGCCGGCCGUGCCCUGCUAUUUCGAAACUAUGCUGAAAUGGCCGAGAGGCUGCAUGCACAUACGCACGUACAAAAUGCGAUUUCAUAACAUUGUUGACCAAUCGGAGCGCGUACACAGUCUCGACCAAUGGGCAUGCAACGAGGUGUAUGGGCACAGUGGCACAUAUUCUACAGCCACAUCCGCGGGUACCUCAGGAGGGCUGGUUUCUCGUCGUCGCAUGUAGUUCGCAUAAUUUCGAGCGUUCCGCACUAACCGUCUAACAUUCCGUCUCUCCCGUUCCGUCUAACAUUGCAACUGUCCGUAAGUGGAAGCGCUUCUUCCAGCUGCCAGCAGACCUGUCAGUCUCGUUUGAAAUGUUAAAGAGUGAAGACGCAGUCCUGGAUCUGAAGCCGAAUUGCUCUUCGCCUUCAGGAUUUUUGCAGUUUCAGGUAUGUAAUUAAUAUAACAGCGAAGUAAUAUGUUCGACUGCGUCAUGCAUUCUCAUUGUCCAUUUUACUCUAUUUGCAGGCAAUCUGAACAACGACAGGGAGAUAGAACGACUGGAUAAAUCUGGUUAGCGACUGUAUGCUUUGUGCAGACAGUAUGUCAUGUGUCUCGACACUACUCUACAUGGAUAUGCCGCCAUCGUGUUUUAUGAAAUGAUAUUUCUUGCACGCAAGCCACACGCAAGAGAGAUGCAAGCAUCGCCUUCAGUGUGGUGGGGACUCAUUACUCAUGGACGUCAUGACAAGGUCUGGAAGUGCUUUCGCGGAAGCAGGACAAGUUGGAGCGGAAAUGAGGUCCUAGGCUCCGACCAUACGAAGCAGGACGAAGAAGAAACCACCGAAGAGAGAACAUGCCAUUAGCGCGACGCUGAUCACCACGAGAAUGGCGACCACCAGCUGGUUCUCCAUCAUCUGAAAUUAUAUUGUUUCAGACCAUAAACAAUGCUGCCAGCAAUGGAGUCUCUGGAGCAUCGAGGCAGCACUGGCCAAUGUGGUGCACAACUAUGUUGAGCGUAGCAGCGAAUGCCGUAGUGUGCGAGAGGCAGCGUUCCUUUGUUGUCCGCCCUAAAAGUUUCACAGGUGCUCGUGAUAUCUUGAACUGGGAGUGGUGAAAGCAGCGAUGGCUUAUUCUAUGAGCAGUCUCAUAGUACAGAUAAGAUUGGCUGCAAAGGAAAUGAGCUACCUUUCCACAUCUGACUGCGCUGUUCUCCAAGGUUCCUUGUUUUUUGUAUAACCGCAGCUGGUUGUUGAGUGAGCUAGUGUCGCUGUUUGUAGUUUUGUAUGAACUAAUAGCUUCUGUUACAGUAGUCAGAGAGCUUGAACUGCAUGUGAUUUCGUCACAUCGCUAGACAGCGUCAAGCAUGUGUAAAGGACCUGGUGUCUCUCUACAACAAUGAAGAGCAGGGCAUAAACAAGAAGACGAAGAUAUUGCUUGGACAUGCCAGUGAUUAGGCUGCUUCCGUAUCACACCAUCUGUACUCCGAAAAAUGCUGCGGGAUGACCGUUGCGAAGAGGCGUAUCGACCAUCCAUGUAAUUAUUGUUAUUAUUAUGACCAUUAUCAUUUUAUUAUAUUAUCUUUUUUGCACAUGUUUCAUUACUUGAUUUAAGAUUUUAAUAAACAAGCACAUAAACGGUCAUUUCCCUCAUUAUCUUAUUGAAUAUUCACUAUUACACAUUUGUACUAUUGUAUUUGGACCCAGUUAGGUUUGGGGAUACCUGUGCUUUUGCCCCAGCAGAAGUGGAGUGGCAUAGUAGGAAGAGGUAGCAAUAGGCAACGUAGAAUAAACAGUAAUUCACAACAUUUGGUGAACGCUCUAUCAACGUAGAAAAAAACAGCAGUCAACGUAGAAAUAGUGUUAUAAAAUUAUAGAUUUUACGUGUUUUUGACCGGACAUUUUCUACGUAGAAUCUACGCUGCACUCUAUCGCUGUUCUACGAUGGUGUUGUAGAUUUACAAUGUUAUUUCAACGUUGAUUCUACAUUUCGUUGUUGACUGGGGGCCUGAAAGCUCCCAAGAAGAAGCUGUGCCACACAUAAUUCCCUUCCCUGCCACAUUGGAGCUCUCUACAUGCUCCAAACCGCCGUUACACGGAACGCUGUCCGCUACAGGAAAUAGUGUACCGCCCUCCACCCUGGCAAUUUCAUGCUGCAGCUUCUCCACAAAGUGCUUUCGAGCAUUGUGUACACCAACCACGUGUAAUUCGUCACCGCUGUGGCUUAGAAUGAACAUCAUUUGUGCUGAAUUUUGCUCCGAGGGUAUCUGUAUUUUUUAAUUUCUUGUUCUGUGUGUAUUUUAGAGCCGGUUACGUCUGGUCUGAUUUACAGAUCAGAAGCUCUACAAUCUUAGAAUGUGUCUAUGGGUAGCUCUUUUUUUUGCAACACAAAAAAUAAGAAUUCCAUAUUCAAUUGCAAAUUUCUGUCUCAUCUUGCCCCACCUUACUUCACUUCUACAGAGAUUACUUCUUGCGAAGAACCAAGGCGUAAACUCCGUAGCAAAAGUUAUGUUACAGGGUGUGUAUAGAAUACAGCGCAAUGAACAAGUGGCAAAAAAAAGAAAAAAGAAAAAGAAAAUAGAAGUCGUUAUAUUUUACCUUCCCAUAUUAAAAUUAUGAUUUCUCGCGCGCGCUUGUUCAAUCUUACCUAAACUACUGCAGUUUGGUUCGGAUCACCACGA
Ornithodoros turicata is the source of this 4548-nucleotide long non-coding RNA. RefSeq lists it as uncharacterized. The record is from RefSeq and is a predicted model, not a curated record. The transcript is spliced from 5 exons. NCBI's taxonomy places the organism in Eukaryota, Metazoa, Arthropoda, Arachnida, Ixodida, Argasidae.